UUUUCUUUCUUUCACCCUACUUCUAUUCUUUUUUAUCUUUCACCUUAUUUUGAAUUUCCCAGGGUCUUCUUCCAAAAUUUAAACUAAUCUCUUUAUAAUAUAUCCCUUAUUCCGUUUUUUUUGCCCGUCCCUUUUCCGUUGGUUUAUUUUUUCCCGGUCGGACAAUAACCAUUAAUCAACUUGGGUACUCCAAAUCUGUAUCUUGAAAAUAUGAUACACUAUUAUCUCUCACGCUUUCAUAUGAAGGUUUUUUCAACUUCCAUCAUGUUUUCAAUAUGGAUAACGACAACGGAGCAAAAGAUACCACGACACAAAUAGACAGGCAGAUAGCAUUUGGUGGAAGCUAAGGCCUGAGCCCUGUCCUAAUAAGGCGGAACAUGCCUUGAUCUGCCCAAAGUCUGACCCGAACACAGCUAAGCCCAGCCGGUCUAGAGGUGAUUAUGGCACUCAGUUUCUACAUCAUAAGUCUUUUAUGAUAUAUUAGCAUAUAUGAAUGUUAUAUUAUUCCUAAGCAUAUUUGAAAACUGUGUAUAUGUGUAUGAAUUAUAAAAAUAUAUUACUCAUUUUUUGCA
Erigeron canadensis is the source of this 572-nucleotide long non-coding RNA. RefSeq lists it as uncharacterized. The transcript has 3 exons. The record is from RefSeq and is a predicted model, not a curated record. Lineage: Eukaryota; Viridiplantae; Streptophyta; Magnoliopsida; Asterales; Asteraceae.